RNAcentral lists this ribosomal RNA (1011 nucleotides) under Basiria sp. SAN-2005. Its description in RNAcentral is "eukaryotic LSU rRNA". It matches the Rfam family "Eukaryotic large subunit ribosomal RNA", at positions 104 to 910 of the family's 3401-position model. The record is from RNAcentral. Lineage: Eukaryota; Metazoa; Nematoda; Chromadorea; Rhabditida; Tylenchidae.
UAGCCCAGCGCUGAAUCCCUCGGCGUCUCGUCGUUGGGACCUGUAGCGUUAACGAAAGUCGUUGCCUACGUCGUUCGCGUUUCGUAAGCUCCCUUGAUCGGGACCCCGUAGAGGGUGGAAGGCCCGUAACGAAACGGUCGACGGAGGGUUGGAUUUUCGAUAGAGUCGGGUUGCUUGAGAGUGCAGCCCAAAGUUGGUGGUAAAUCCCAUCUAAGGCUAAAUAUAACCACGAGACCGAUAGCGAACAAGUACCGCGAGGGAAAGUUGAAAAGAACUUUGAAGAGAGAGUUCAAGAGGGCGUGAAACCGUUUAGGAGAAAACGGGUAAAGCCGCGAGGAGAGGCCGCAAAAAUCAACCGUUCGACUGGCGAUCUAUCGAUUGGCGAGACUCUAAAAGCUCAUCGGUUGGCUAAUAAUCGUCUCGGAUGGUGCACUUUUUGUGGCGCGCGUCGCGAUCGAGAUUUCGGUUCGAAACAAGAGUCAACUCGAAGACGGAGCCGUGUGUUCCGCGCCUAAGUUGACUCGGACGUCGAUACUGGAUCUCGGUUUGCUUUUACGAUGACAACGGUGUUUCAUCGAGUUCGAACUCCGUUUCGUUCGGGUCGGUCCGAAAUGUUGGUAGCUUGCACGCAGGCUCCGACGACCCCCGGCGCUACGCGAUUCGGUUUCGACUCGUGUUUGUUAUCCGCUCCGCGACGUCCGCGGCGGCCGCUUACCCGACCCGUCUUGAAACACGGACCAAGGAGUCUAACAUGUGCGCAAGUCGUCGGGACGAUAGAAACCCGUACGGCGCAAUAAAAGUGAAAGCGAUCUCACGAUCGCGUUAGAUACGAUCUCGUCUCUUCGGAGGCGAGCGGAGUAUUGUCCCGUCCGAGCGGUACGUCCGCUGGGCGGAGAUAGAGCGUAAAUGUUGGGACCCGAAAGAUGGUGAACUAUGCUCGAGCAGAACGAAGCCAGAGGAAACUCUGGUGGAGGUUCGUAGCGGUUCUGACGUGCAAAUCGAUCGUCAGAC